This is a non-coding RNA of Cyanistes caeruleus (blue tit), 219 nucleotides long. The record is from RefSeq and is a predicted model, not a curated record. NCBI's taxonomy places the organism in Eukaryota, Metazoa, Chordata, Aves, Passeriformes, Paridae.
CUCCAACCAUGUGAUCCAUCGAGAUGUGAAGAGCUGCAACAUCCUUCUCAGAAUGGACGGCUCUGUCAAGCUGGCUGACUUUGGCCUUCCUGCUCAACUCACCCCUGAGCACAGGAGAUAGAGCUCCGUGGCCAGCACUUCUGGGUGGAUGGCGCCUGAAGUCGUGACAGGUCACCCGUACGGCCCCAAAAUGGACAUAUGGUCUUUUGGAAUCGUGGG